CGGGUGAGUAAUGCGUGACCAACCUGCCCCCAUGCUCCAGAAUAGCUCUUGGAAACGGGUGGUAAUGCUGGAUGCUCCAACUUGACGCAUGUCUUGUUGGGAAAGUGUUUAGUGGCAUGGGAUGGGGUCGCGUCCUAUCAGCUUGUAGGCGGGGUAAUGGCCCACCUAGGCUUCGACGGGUAGCCGGCCUGAGAGGGCGGACGGCCACAUUGGGACUGAGAUACGGCCCAGACUCCUACGGGAGGCAGCAGUG
Molecule: ribosomal RNA, 253 nt
Filed under: uncultured Gardnerella sp.
Lineage: Bacteria; Bacillati; Actinomycetota; Actinomycetes; Bifidobacteriales; Bifidobacteriaceae
Description: partial 16S ribosomal RNA
Rfam family: Bacterial small subunit ribosomal RNA
Source: RNAcentral